GACGAGGGGCCCCGGCAGUGGGGGUCCGUGAACCUGGUCAGGUGGGAAACCAAGCAGCCAUAAGCGUCAACUUCCAGGUGCUCGGGUCUCUCGUCUCG
Molecule: signal recognition particle RNA, 98 nt
Filed under: Planctomycetaceae bacterium
Lineage: Bacteria; Pseudomonadati; Planctomycetota; Planctomycetia; Planctomycetales; Planctomycetaceae
Description: signal recognition particle sRNA small type
Rfam family: Bacterial small signal recognition particle RNA
About the family: The signal recognition particle (SRP) is a universally conserved ribonucleoprotein involved in the co-translational targeting of proteins to membranes. Archaeal SRP consists of a 7S RNA and homologues of the eukaryotic SRP19 and SRP54 proteins.
Source: RNAcentral